Molecule: long non-coding RNA, 529 nt
Filed under: Citrus x clementina
Lineage: Eukaryota; Viridiplantae; Streptophyta; Magnoliopsida; Sapindales; Rutaceae
Description: Citrus clementina (C. clementina) long non-coding RNA (CCLE_LNC000232)
Source: RNAcentral
GAAUACAGACUUUUUGAAUUACUUUUUAAAGUACUGAGAUCAACAAGAUAAUUAUUACCUCCAUGGACUUUAUAGCACUAAAGACACUGUCCAAUUUAAAUGUCGCGUGCAAACUUCUGCAUUUAAAAAUUUUUAUGUAUACAAGUUUCUUGUGCAGGCAACAAAAGAAAAUAUGAAUUUGUACAAAGGCACAUAUAUGGAAUAAUUUUUUUUAAAAAAAAAAUUGUUUCGACCUUAUUUAAUUCGGGAAAAAAAUGAGUGACUAUCUAAUUAAUUAUAUGAAAUGAAGACAUUAAUAGAAAAUUAUAACUUAGUUCAUACCAUUUGAUGGAAUGUACCAUAACUUAUCAGUAGGAAGGAUCCCAAGUGCCUUUUGAAUAUAUGCUGAGCUGUGAUUGCCUCAUUAGCCAUUAGUUAACAAAGACGUCUGCUUUAAUGCAGAACAACGAUCCCAGAUUAUGUUUAUCUAAUAAUCAUUUCAAAAGCAAUAUGUAUGUAUGUGUGUGUCUGUGUACAUAUACAUACAUAU